GCCGCUGGCACUAGGUGGUGCCCGUACACAGGCGGAGGGCCCGGCGCUGCCCGGCCGGGGCAUGGAGCAAACCUGAGGGCCGCCCUGGGCAGGGGGUGCUGGGAAGGUGGAAUCCGCGGGGUUCUGCCGAGAGGAACGGCUCGUGUGUUAUGCCAUCAGAUCCAACGAAAAGACGCAAAACCCUUUCUCACCAUGUGGGCUCUGAAGAAGCAGUGAGGGCCGCGUGGGACUGAGGACACUGGAGUCCCAUCAGCACAGGAACAGGAGAAAGGCACAGCAAGGUCACCUUCCAGCUCUGAGCUGGUGCAGAAGAUGGAGGAGCGGUGCAGAAGGCAGGUGGGACUGGAGACCCUGCAGAAUUAAUGGUCUUCAAUCCAGUCUUCAGGCUGCUGAGCUCCUCCUUUUGUACAGUCCUUUUUCAGAAGCACAUCUCUGAUUUAUGCAGCUUGACAAAAUCCUAAACCUGCAGUCUCCUUGUCCUCCUGUUAAAUGGCUUGCAUGCGUCUCCAUCCUCACCAUGCCUUCUCAGAGAGCACUGGUGUUGUGCAUCUCUCCAUCCCUCCGAGGUGCAUUUGGCCUUCCUUCUCUGCGAUUCCUCCCCUUCCCUUUUUCCUGACACAGACUCAAGUUUUAAAAAUCCAUUUUCCUUCUCUGAGCCACCAUUAUGCACAAAUACUUCUCUGCUCUUCUUCACAUGCCACCAAUUUCCUCCAGAACCUAUCACUCUCAUCUAGCUGCUUAACUGUGUAAUGAUAUGAAAUAUUCACUCUAAUGAGCCCCUGCUGUGGAUACCACUUGAUCCUGCCUUGUUUUUGUUCUUUUUGACUCCAACCUCACUGAAUGUUCGACUUUCCUUCUCCCAAAUUUCAAACUGCUUCCUGAAGCUACACCAUACGUGCAUAUGUACAGUUCAUACAACAUACGUCUUUUCUGCUGAUGUUUUCAGAAGGAACAAGGGCUAUCUUGAUGGGAAUUUUCAGCAAAUACCACGUGAUCAGUCUCGGACAGCUGCCAUGGAAACUUCAUCCUGAAGUUUUGCAAAGUAGAUGAAAAUAAAAUUUUGUAAUGAAAAAUGUCAGGGAACCUAAAUAGCAGACUGUUCCUUGGUGGUUAGUCCUUUGGCAAUUGGAAAGCACAGAGCUGCCAGCCCUUCAGCCUCAUGCACAGAAAUCAGCAUAUGUGGGACGAACAACCUGAUUAAAUGAAUACGAUUUAAGUUUUCAAGUAAAAGGGAAUCCAGAAGAACUACCCUAGUUGUGGCUUUAAAUACUGAACUUCUAAAUACUACCUCUGUUUUCUAUACCUUUGUGAUGCACCUACACAAACUAAUGGAAGGAUGAAAUGAUAGCACAGGGGCCUGGAGAUUGCUGCAUUCACGCUUUGUUUGCUUUGCUCAGGAUGGAAAGGCAGCAGGGUUGGGAAGAGCCAGCUACAGAGGAUGCUCUUCUGACAUGGUGGUUUGUUCGAUGGGCCUGAUCUAGAACUAUCUCGCAUAAUUAAGAUCUGAGAAAAGACAACCUUCUGUCCCUUCCCCAUAAAUCUGUGUUUGCAUUCAAAUGGUGAGUUGGAAUAUUGGAGUAAGUCUUCUUUUUUUCUUCUCCUUUGGGAUAUGAUAAAUUUUGCAAUUGCCAGAAUAAAUACAGAUUUAUCUUAAGGGCGGUUGUUCAUUUUUUCCUUCUUCUGUAUUUUUUUUCUUUUUUUCUGAGAAUUCCUAGCAGUUUUGAGAAACUCUCUGGGUGCUGUGGGAGUCUUUCCUUUCCACCGCUCCAUUGCUCAAUGUUCUCACAGUCUUGCCCAUUCCUGUUUGCCUAUCUAACUACUGUUUGGGAUAAUCUGUGUUUCCUAUCCAAAGCCGUGUUAUCAGGUCAUUCUGCACUGAAAUACUGCGGUCCUCCAAGACAAAAACAACUGUGUAUCAGGGAUUUUUAUCUUCCUUCUGCUGAGAGUUUCCAGUGGUGAAUGUAAGAAAGUGAAUCAUUUCUAUGCAAGGUGAGUGCUUUUUAAUUGACCCCUGGCAUAUCUGGAACAGGACACCAAGAUUUAGAUACCUAAUAUGCCUAACAUAGUGUAAAUAAACCAUUCAUACAUGAAAUGCAUAAUCCUACAGACACCUCGUGGGACCUGUUCUGCUUGAACUCUUGGAGACAGCGUGUUAUUCCUGUGGACAAGCUUGGAUGAAAAAAAGUGGUUCAUAGAUAUGUGCAUGUAUUCAUAUUCACCCUUCUCCUAUCCCCAGAGCCUGAACAUUUGUUCAGAAAUACAUAUUCCCCAAGGAAAAGAAAGUCCACUGGCAGCAUUUGGAAGUCUGAACAAAAUUUUAAACAAAAACUUUAAUAGGAUCAAAUCCAACCUACGUAGACUGCUGUAACAGGGAGAGCUGCUGGAGUUUUGUCUGACUCUGGGACUUAUUCUAGGAUUAGAUUAUUUUUAAAUUAUUAUUAUUUUGCUAGUUCUAGCAGUGCUUUGGGGGCAGGAUAUUUGUUUCUCCAGGGCAACAUGGCCCAAGUGAGAGCACUCAUCAGUGCUGGCUGCCAACCUGAGAAACAAUGUGGUCCUGGCCUGGCCAACCCCAUCUGCUCCUCUCCAUCCCUCUGGCCCCUGCCUGACAGGCUGUUAAGACAAGGAAGAAAACUGAGUGAGAUGACAAGAGCCAAAGGAUUUGCUGAACAUGCCUGGCUCAAUAGUGGCACUGCUGGCAGGUGGCAUUGCUCUGUCCAGGGUGGACACACAGAAUAUAUCCUUCAUGUGGGAGAAAAGCCCAAGUCUCCACAGAGGGAGCCGUGGUGCUGUGGGUGUUUUCUUCUCCUGUGUGGUGUGAAGUUGGCUUUUCUGCCCAUGAUUACAGGAAGCUGAUGUAAUUUAUUUUAUUUUUUUUAUUAUUAUUUUGCUUAUUUAAUAUUAAAGCCCGUUCCUUCUGCUUGCGUUAUAGGCUUGGCUGUCUUGCAGGUAGCGGAGACCUGUAGGGCUGUUAUCACUUGCCUAGAUCCACUGCUGAGAUACGGGGCAGAAAACUGGCUCACAGCAAAGGAAAAGGAGGGCACUGAGGAACACAGUCCUGCAGAGGCUGUCAUGCAGCUCUCCCACCCCAAAUGGCUGCAUGGCACAGGGCCAGGGUAGGUGCAAGGCCGGGAGGGGAAAGGCGAUGCUGAGGAAUGUGCUGCCGCGCAUUUCUGCAAGUUCCCCCUCCCUGGCAGAGGACCGCAGACUUGGCAAGCGUGAUGGAAAGCUGUCUGCCCUUGCAGCUCCCCAGGGACCUGCCCUGGCACUUUGCCUGGCUCUGGGCACUGGGCACUGCGGUGGGUAGCACAGCUCACAUAAACAUGGGGUGAAUGUGCGCACACCUAUGGAAGACAACGUAAAUUUCCCCAAACAUCCCUCACGGCGCUGGAACUGAAGGCAAGAAGAAACUCUGGAUAACAUGGCUAAUUAGCCUGAAUACAGCACUGCACCCAGGGAAGUAUCAUUGCUUGCAGGGCUGGAGUGAGGGCCCCAGUGAUCUGCAGAUUCUCCAAAUAGGCAAGACAGCUCUGCAUUGCGCUAUGGAGACUCUCAGACUUCACACAAAGUGAGCAGGCUUGAGCCCCAGAUGAAAGUCAGAGCAAGAACUUGCCAUUGUGCUAGUAAACAGUGUUUCUGGAAUCCCUGUUAUGGAGAUUGAAUGAAAUUUGGGGCAUCAUUUUUAAUUUGUGGGAAAAUAACUAAAUAUCGCUACAGGGUGAGUUUCCAAAAUACCACAAACUCGAAGAAAUCUUAAAAUCUCUCUCAGUUGCUGCUAUACUUUCUUAUGCAAAAUGUUUUAAACCAGACUCCCAAAGGAAAUGACACAGGGAGUCCCACAGUGCAUCUUGCACAGGUGUGCAUAUGACUGCCUUUGCCUCAACGUUAACUUUCAAAAUCAUAGGGCAAUAUCAACCAAACUGCUGUAGGAGGUUUAAUCUUUACAAGGCUACAUGGCAAUAAAUAUCUGAUGAGAGGAUGGACAGGGAGUGCGUAGUCACCGAUGAAGGAAGUGGGACCACAACUGUUUGUAGAUGCCAGAGAAUCCAAAAGUGCACAUCCCUCUCAACUGUAGGAUCAGUUUCAGUAUAAAUGUUUUAUUUAUUAAACACACACACACACAAAAAAAAAUGCAACCACAAGAUGCCAAGACAUAGGAAAACAAGCCUCAUUACUUCCUGCAUUUGCAGAGCUAUACUUCCAUAAGAGACUGUGACUUCCAGAAACCCUUGUACACUUUGAUCCUGUGGUAGCACUUAUAAAUUUCUAUCUCAUUUUUGGAUUCUGUAAUGAAUGGGGCUGUGGCCAUGCUCUGAAGAAACGGGUGUACAAGUGGAUUCCUCUUCCUUUACUUUCCCCUUUCUUGUCCUCUUCACUGAAAUAUGAACGACUUAAGUGUAUUCUUCAGUCACAGUAAUUAUUUGCCUGAAAUCCCUCCCAAACAAGUUGCCUUUAGUUCAGUUUAGUGAAUUUUUUGUUUUUUCUGUUCAGGCAAUGGGGAGAAAUUGACAGUUGAUGUUCAUUGCCAAUGUUGUGCUCUGGUGUUGGGACAAGAGAAUGAGCCAACAGCCUCCGUGGUCUGAGAGGUAAUGUUAUGAGGGCACCACAUAAGCUCUCACUUCUCAGCUUUCUCACUUACUCCCCAUAUUUCCUCUUCCAGCAUGUGUAGUCUAUGUCAGAGUCUGGAAGAAAUACUUCAUGUCUCCUUCUCCCAUUGGUGUUUUAUCUGCAUGUGGGUCAGCUUUCGGAAGCCCUCUGUUUGCUCUGUGCAUCUGUUACGCUUAUGUUUUAUGAGGUGCUAUUGAAUUGCUAACACUCCUGUGCACUGCCACAGAAGCAGCAAGACCUCAUCUUGCUGGAUGGAGCAUGUCCCUACCACACUGCUGGCCAGACAGGUCCGGUUCUUUUAAAUCUAGUUUGCCGAGAUUUCUCUUUCUCCACUGAGAAUCUGGCCAGAAUUGAUUUUUGAAGGCAUUGUGCUCUUUUAUGAAGUUGACUUUUGUGAAUAUCUGUGAACUGCGCUGAUGGACUUAAACCAUUUUCUUGAUGUAUCACACCCUUCAGCAUCACAUAAGCAGGGAGAUCUGUGGUUUUUGUUUUCUUUUUUCUUUUUUUAUUUUUAUAGAGGUCCCCGUUUUGGUCACAUGUUGAAUAUAACUUAGGUGUAUGGAUUGUUGCAGACUGGAAAAACAGGCCAAGACUUAGCUGGAAAAGUUGGGUACUUGGAAAGCAGGAGUGGAAACUUUAGUGGUGAGAGGAGGUAAUCAAGGCAGAGGGAGCCCUUGAACAAAGGAGGAGACCCCAAACCACGGUGUGUAUUUGUCUUUGAUGCUGGCAGAGUUAUGCAGGCCCUAAAGGAAGCUCUGCACUGCUGGAGGUCCGCUUUCAUAUUAGACACUGGACCCAGGUCCUAUUUUUUCUGGCUCUGGUGGCUGUCCAGGAGGAAGUGAGAGAUCCUAUGACACUUGUUGGAAGACAAGGACGUGAUCCCAGUGCUGUGGAUAAAGUUUCUGUCUGGCAAUAAAGUACUUUGAGCUCUGUGGAUCGUGUUAGCAGGUGCCAACAUCAGGCUUCACAGGCUGUUUGUUAAAGUUGCACGGUGCUCAGCUGGUGUAAGACUUAGAUGGUGGAGUUGCAGGAAUUUUUCCUUUUUUCCUCUCUGUUUCUAACAUAAAUUUGGCUGAGAGUGGAAAAUGAAUUAUAUCAUUCAAACCUGCCUUUUAAGGGUAAUGAUCUGAAUGGAAUUUGGUACAAAAAAAAACCUCAUGAUGUGCAAGCAAUUGAGCAUGGGCUGCCUAGCAGCAGAUAUUUCUAGGAAGAUGGUGUAGAGCACCGAAAGCAGAGAAAUUUUCUGGUGCAUCAAUGAAGUCCCCUAAGCUACCAGAAAUGAGUACCUUGUGAAUCCAUAGUUGGCCUUGAAAGGAACAGCAGAAUGAAAGAAGGGUCUGUGCCUGUGAAGAUGAUUUGCUGAUUAUCAUUUAAAGCAUUUUGAUGGCUAAGGUGAAGGUCAGUCCAUUGCUGUGUUUCUCUCUCUCUCUCUCUCUCUCUCUGUUUAUUUAUUUUGCAAUUAGCUGUGGCAUUUUAUAUGGAGUAAAAAUAUGAAUAGCAUCUCUUAAAAUGAAUGCUGAGGUGAGUGGAAAGGAAGAACAUGAGAAACAAGCAGAAACUUAUUUAACAGGCAGGUUGCUGAAUGCCUUGACUCGAAGCGUUGCGGCUCUUAGCAUAUGAUUUAUUGCUAAUGCCCCUUCCUCUGGCUGGCCUUCAGCCUUUGAUGUCAGUCAGCUCCGCAUCCAUUACUUUGCGAUGCAAAGUGAAAGUGCAGCAGCUUCGGUUUGUUCCCUGUUCCUUCCUGAAAUUGCUGUGUUGUUUGCCUCUUCGUGUUGGUUUGCUUUCUCGCCCUCCCCACGUAGCACCUUCUCGUCCGUGAAGAUACAAAGCUGGAGUUGUGUGCGUGCACUUUGCAUUGUCUGGCAGUAAAUGGAGCCUUUUAGCCAGGGCAAGACUGAUGUAGGAAUGUAAGAGAUCGUAUCUGGGGGAAAAAUCAAUAUUAAGAUGUACAAUUGCUCCCAUGGUAUUGAAAGAAUUAGUUGAUCUACAUGCCAAAUGACAGCCCCCUUGAUAACAGGGAUUAUGUAGCCUGUCUUUCCAGGCUGUGCUCUGUUGGGGCUGCUCUCUGGGUCCCUGAGGCAGAGAUAAUCUAAUUAGUGCAACAAAGACCAGGGCGAGGGAAAAAGGGGGGGGUACUGCUGAGAGGGGCUGCGGGGAGGUGGAUUGAGGAGUCUAACAGCCAGAAGCAAGCUCCAGAAAAAAAAGUUGCAGGGGAGGAGAAAGCAAGGAGUGCAGUGUAAUUGUGGCUUUGGCUCCACAAACAUUGGAAAUGAGGGACCACCGGGCUAUUGCCAGACAAGCCCCAGAUUAGGAAGUGCUUACAGCCUUCACACGAGCUUGUUCAGUCUCACCCUCACAUAAGAGGGAGCUGAGAAAUAGGACGGUGGUGUUGGUCUGGGUUGAACAGGGAUGUGCUCGUGCAUCGCAAAGUCACAGGCACCUGCUGUAAAAAAAGUGCUUGCAAACAAUUAAAAUUGAUUGCCAGCAUCCCCACUGACCCCUGUGUCUAGCAAAUGUCAGCUGCAAUGAGAGCUAGCAUCCCCCCCAUGACUCUGCAGGUUUUGCAGGCACGGUGUCUGCUCUGUCGGUGCACGCUCAGCGCCAUCAGCACCAUGUUCCCCUGAUUGCUGACUGUUUUCAGCCAGACCUGCAUGCAUGGAGCUGGGGGAACAUCCUCAGUCGGUGCACAGUGAACCGAGUGCCAAACAGACUGAAUCAAUGAUAAUGACCCAGAAAAUAAUCAUGGAAGCCCCUCUCUGGGCUGGCACAUGACUUCUUGUUGUCUGACUUCCUGGCAGCAUGUACUGGUACCUGAACAUUUUCAGUCUUGCUUUCAGUGCCAUUUUUCCCUGAGCAAUUUGUACACCACAGCCUUAGGCUUUUGCAGUCCAUUCCUAACCUUUUGUUAAGUGUAGUUCCUGGAUUUAUCCUUUGCUUUAUGAACAAUUCCCUGAAGUUUAAAUCUGAACUUAAGUUCGAUUCAAUACCAACUUGCUUGAACGCUUUGGUGGCUGUGUCUAGGAUUUUGGUCCAGUUCUCUCUCCAAGGCAAAUAUUGCAAUUGCUCUACCAUGCUAAUGAGUACAGGCAUUUUUUCAGGCUCUGUAAUCUUGCAGAUUGAGGAGACUGAGUGGCUGAAGGAAGGAUCUCUCACAUCUGGAAUCUGCUUUUUUUUCCUAAGGAUCAUGAGCAUGAGGAGUUCAGGCGUUUUUGCACAGCUCCCCACUGACCCUCGAGUUCAUGUCAUCAGACCCAAUCUCGUUGUGUUGGCAAGUACUCACACAAAUAAGAGCGUACAACAAUGGGGUCUUUCUUCUAGCAGCUUUCCUCUCCCUCUCCCCUUGUCCCUCGCUGCUUCUCUCUCCUACACUGGAGAUACAACAUUUGGAGACAACAAGGAUGAGAUCAUUGCCUUGCAAGGAGUGACAAGAAAACUGGCUGCACUGCGCUGGGCUCCAUGGAGCCUUUUCCCAGGGAGGAGAUCUGAUGUUAUUUCCCUAUCCGCACACGCACGGAGACAUGAGCUCUCGGGAGAUGGUGCUUGCCAGCCGCUCUGGUAGGAGAGCAGAUAAGGCGCAGAGACGAGGAGCCAUCAAAACACAAACGUCUAGCCCAGACUUCGCAUUCCUGGCUUUGCUGUAUUUACUUACUUCAGUCACACGAGCUUAUAAAAUGUCAUUAGCAAGGCAUGGAGUCCUGACCCAUUUUGGAGAUAUCUAUGCUGGGGAUACUCUGUGAGUCCAUAUAGUCCUUCACUUCAGGUGUGAAUGUAGAUGUAUGAAUUUAUAAACAGUUUUUAGAUUUGCGCUGUGCUUUAGAAGUAAAUAAAACGAAUUUAUUCCAUGAGGAGUGGAACUGAGGACACCAGAUCUCAUACGGAUUUCCAUGCCAAAACUGCCUCAAAGCUGCAACUACAGGUUAUUCCCCACACAUGUUUGGUAGAGUUCUCCCCUUCCCAGAACUGUGCUGCUGCAUUCACCUGAGCUGUAAGGUAAAAACCCACGUCCCAACCCUCUUCUCAGCUGGUGGCACAGACCCAAACUGGCCAAGGGUCUCUUGAUUUGUGCUACAGCCUGUCCUUCAGCAGAGACAUUUAUAUGUUUGCUCUCCCUCUCCAGUCCCCGUUUUCACCAGAACUGUAGGAAUUUCCAGCACUGACCAUCUGGACUCACGUGUGUUUUUUCAAGCGUGUGCUCUCUGUUUGCUCUGAAAUAGAAUAAAAACAACCCAGCAGAAGGUAAUUCAAUAAAAACUGUAUUUGAUAGACCCAGAAAAUUAUUUUUUAAAGAAAGACUACUGCUUAAAAGCUCAGAUGCAGAUAUUCCUUACCAUCCCAUUCCCGUUGAAAGUUCAGAUUUAAAUCACCUACCUUUCACUUUAUUAUGUUUAGCAACAAGAAAUCUGACAGGGGUUUUCUCAAGCAUCCUGACAAUGGUUAACAACUUCCUCACAGUUUACUUUCUGGUACUGUACUUUUAUGUGACUGUUAAGGUCUGGGAGAUAUUGAGACUUUUAUUUACUUAUUUUUCCCACUGUGAGCACUAGGCUGCUGCUCUCUAGCUGAGGAUUCAAUGUACCAUUGCUAAAACCCAAGAAGUUGCCUUGCUAUGGGAUGCUAUGACAUACAAAUAUCUGUUGGAGAGCCAACACCUUUUGUGCAACCAUCCCAGCAAAAUGUGGGCUGCUGCAUGUUGUAGUAAGCCUUUCUAUCAGCCAGAAAACUGCCAUUCUCCUUCCUGUAGGACCUUGCACUUUGUUAUACUUCUGUAAUGAAGAGUUUUGCAUCAAGUGACAAAUGGUUGCAACUGCUCUGGCUGGCUGUAAGCAGUGUGUUCCAAGUGUAGCUCCUUCGUUUGGCAGACAGCACAACUCUUGAUAGAAACCAUAGUAAAUUACCACAUUAUUUAACAAUUACUUACAGUGCAUUCCCUGAUCAUUCGGUGCCUUGGGAUAUUGUGCAUUCUGCCUAAUUGCAGUUUAAACAAAAAUGUAUUGCAGUCAUUAUGCCAUUAUGUGUGUGGAGUAUAAGGAAUAGAAUCGAGCAAAUCACAUAAAGCUGGGUGAGACUUAACUGUCUACAUGGGAAUGUUGGGAACUGGGUCUCUCACCCUUGCAGGCCACCAAGAUAAUUUCUCAACUACUAAGCAGUAGCUGGUUUAAAGAAAAAAAUCUAUUAGCUUCUCCACACUCCAGGGAAACGUCUAUCAGCAAAACUGAUUAGAGAUAAGAGUAAGCAGAUGUCAAAACAGAAGACCACCAAAGAACUUUGGUUCUGAAGUGAGUGGGUGAGUGAGUGGGGAGAGAUGCAGCAGGUAGUAAAAGUGGGGUGAAUUGUUAUGGCCUGAUCUGGUGCCAGUCCUGCUCUCCUUCCAGCUCCAGGGAGGAUUUUGGUAAAGAUGUUAAGAUGGUCUCGUAGGUGAGAAGAAGUCUGCCUUUCACAACCAUUCUUCGGUGUGAUUUGCAUCUGCACGCGUGCUUUGCUUUGCUUCACAAGCCCUUUCUUUAACCUAAACAAUUGAAUGGAAAUUAAAGUGAGAAUGAAGAACCCUGCGAGGGUGUACCACAGAAUAUCUUCCUUCCAUAAUCACAGAGGAGCUGAAUGCAAACAAUCUCCCUCUGUAGAAAGCAGUUCUCUGUAGGACUCUGUUUUGUCACAGGCUUCAGCUGAACCAGGUCCCUGAUAUAUGGGAUGGCAUAAGGUUUAAAAAAGGAACCGACAUUCUGAUUUAGCUUCCAUUGCACGAACCGAUCCCCGAAUUUCAAUAUGUUGGAAGAAUAUGUAGGCUUUAUCAAUAUUUUAUAGAGGAAGUCACGAGGAUAAAUCAUUUUAUUAUGCCAAAGGAUUCCUACUGGGCUGGAAUGAAGUUUUUCACCCACUCAUCCUUAUGAUCAUAUCUAAAUAUGUUAAACCCCAGGUUUCAUGCUCACUCCCAUUCACUUGUCCUCCUUUGCCAGCCACAGCCAGCCAGUGAGGUGUGCUGGCACUGUUUCCAGAGAGAUGCCCACAUGCCAUGGAAAGAAGCUGCAGGCACUCCUCCCAUCUCACUGAACUGCCCUUUUGGCAUUGCCUGAGCAGGCCUGUGUGAGAGGUGUUCACUUGCUUUCUUCUGCAGUUUUUCCACUUGGCUUUCCUCUUUGGCCAAGGAGAUGAGAGCUGGUGGCCCAGAGAUGCAGAGAACAGGAUGCAUAUCCCCAGCCCUCCCUGUCAGCCUGUGGUCAUGCCAGAGCACAAAGCAGCUCACAGCCCAGCCUCCCCCUGGCUUUUUCUCCACCUUAAUCCUGGGAUUCUCAUGUGAGGAUGCGAGGGGGAGCUUUUCCAGGUGCAAAGUGUUUUUGGCACUGGCUCUGCCUAAACAAACCGCAUGCUGCCAGUGAAGCUCUGAGCCCACAGCUCAUCACUCCUGAGGAGCACUGAUGUGAAACCAGAAAAUCUGGCCACACACUGCUGGCAGGUGAACUCCUACAAGAGACGGUAACCAAAUCCAUGCAGGCUUUUCCACUCAGCCUCUGCAUGAAAGGAGCUGGAAAGGCCAGACAAAUCCCGGGCAGAUGCUCUGUGUGUUUUGACAGCAGCUUCCAGCCUCCAACAGGAAAAUCUACUUUGUUUUGCUGAAAGUGAAGCUAGAUCGAAAUUGCAGAUUUUUCAAUUCUGAGAUGUGCUUGUCUCCUCUACAGCACUGCACCAAAGUGGGACAAGAUGAACUACAGUGACACCUCCUCUUGGCUUAGCUUGUACCUGCAUUUUGCUGCAGUUGUGCCUUGCACCUGCUUCAAGCUGUGAUAUAUCAGGUCUUCGGUGGCCAUCCAGGAACCAUGUCUGCAUUUCAGCAUGCUCAUAGCAGCCAGACUCCUCCAGCCCUCCCACCUCAGAGCUUCUAGGCAGCCACACAGCAACCAGAGAAGAUUCACCUGGUCUUCACAAACACUGUGAAAAAUCACUGUGAGAAAAAUCCUAUUCUGAGCAAGGGUGUCAGCACGCCUGUGCAACUGAUGCAAAGGUGGGGGGAAGAUGUCCUGUUCCCAGGCACAACCUUUGUCCUUGGCUAUCACCAUUUAUUUGAAAGAAAAAUGGGAAUACCGAUGGGGACAAGAAAAAAAAUGUGCAAACUACUAUUUUGAAAUAUUCCUUGAUGUUCUUCCUUAAAAAAAAAAAAAAAUAACACGCAGAGCUUCAACCUGACUGCUGUUAGUAUGAAGAAGAGAAACUGAUGAAAGCCACAGUAGAUUUGCUUCAUUGGAUAACAUAAUACAUCAUUCAAAAGAAAGUUGAAUAACAUCCUGCUCCAUGAAGGCAUGCAUUCCUGGAGGAGCGGAGGUCCUGAGAAUGUCAAAAGCUCUUGAAAACAGGUCCAGCUACCACUUUGCCAGACACCAUGGCAAAGACUUCUCUGGGAGCUAAUUUUGGAUAAUGAGCAAUCAGCAGGGGCAGAACAUCCUGGUGAUGUGAGAGAGGAGAAAAGCAAUAAAGAAACUAAGCUUUGUAAACAAUUUCAGCAGAUGUUCUUGAAGAAAUACCCAGGCAGUUCUCAUGCUCAAAUCUGUGCUGGAUCAGUGGGAUGUCAUCAUGCUCACCUGGGUGCUUUGAAGAUGUUAUGAAAAUCAGAGAGAAGAGAAUGCAAGGGGAGAGAAGGUUAUUUGUUUAUCACAGGAAUGAAAGCAGGCAUUUAUGAGAUGCCAGCUCAAAUGCUCAAUUUUUGUCUUCUUUAAUUUGUUGGUAAAACAUCAGGACAGAGACAAAGCCUUUCCUACUUUAUGCCUGCAGUGCCAGUCCUCAUCUUAGCCCACAGGUCAACCCAGCUGUUAAGGAUAUGUUAACUUUUAUGGGGUUGUAUAGUGUGAGUUUUCAAUUACUUAAUCUGUGCAAACUGGUGAAUGUAAUAGCAGGAUGCUACUGAUAGCCAUUAUUAUUUCUUGAAGUGGUAGUCUUGUAUAGGGAUAGCUAUCAGUAGCUAUCUAAGCACACAAAGAAAUGCCUUCAGUUUUUGGUCCAUGGACAUACCCCACUCUUCUACCACUUCUUUUAUCUGGGCUUUUUUACCCAAACUGGGCAUACCCACUCUCUCUAAAAGGUGCUUUCAGGGUUGAUCAAGAGCCCCUUUCACAUCAUCUCAUUUGCCUUUGUCCUUUCACUGCUCUGUGUCAAAGACCAAUCAAUCAUGAAAGGAAGACUGUGAUCCAUUUCCAGGAUGAAUUUACUUCUGAUUAACUUCUGGUGUAAAUGAGCAGGAUCUUGCAUGCUUUGUUCAGUGUGGCAAGGUGACCCCCGUAUCUAAUGCCUCUCAUCAUUAUUCUCAGCACUGCAUUGUAGUCAAUGAAGCAAGCUGCUACCAUGCCUUCUGGCACAUAGGAGGUGGCAUCCUCCUUCUGAUCUAAUCUAUCUACAAUUGAGAACAGUUAUGUCCCUGUAUGUGCAGGGGAUAACUGGCUGGAAAGUAGCUCUGACUCUGCUGAGGAGGAUCAUGAGGUAAACAACAAGCUGAUGAAGGACCAGCAAGGCAUCUUCAUGGCCAGCAGCAUCCAGGACUCCAUUAGGAUGUGUGGCCAACAGGUCGAGAGAGGUGAUCCUUCUCCUGAAUUCCAUACUGGUGAGGCUACAUCAGGAGAUCUGGGUCCAGUUAUGGGCUCCCUAGUACAAGAGGAAUAUGAACAUCCUGGAAAAAGUUCAGCAAAGGGCCACAGAAAUGGUGAAGGGAGUGGAGCAUCUCUCCUAUAAGGAAAGGCAGGGAGCUGGAACAGUCUGGGAAAGGAAAGCUUAGGAGGAUCUCAUCAGCGUUUCCAAAUAUCUCACAGGAUGGAAUGAAGAAGACAGAGCCAGGCUCUUUUCAGUGGUAGCCAGUGUGAGGACAAGAGGUGGCAUACUCAGAUUAAAACGACAAAAUUCCAACUUAAUAUCA
Molecule: long non-coding RNA, 13498 nt
Organism: Gallus gallus (chicken)
Lineage: Eukaryota; Metazoa; Chordata; Aves; Galliformes; Phasianidae
Exons: 6
Source: RefSeq, a predicted model, not a curated record